GCCGGCUAGAAGGCGGUGCUGGCGGGAGGCAGUAGACCCGGCCCGGGCCGCAGAAGGGAUGAGAAGGCGCAGCCGGUACCGAGGGCGCGAUCAAUGAGCCAUGCCAGUGAUUAAAUGCAACGCCUGCCCCCGAUCGGUGCUGAGAUUAAGAAGGCACCUAGCAUAUGGGCUAGGUAUUGUUCGCAUCUCCUUCUAUCCCACGCCCCCUCCCCCGACCUGCCACCCGCGAGGUAGGAGUUCCCAUCCUUUCCUCAGGGAAAGCCGAGACGGCAAGUGCUGGCCCAGAGGCCGACUCCACAAGGCUGAGGCAAGUUCUUUCCUCCGUUCCGUACGGGAGCACUUUAACCAACAAUGAAAUAAUCUUCACUUCUAGGAGAAGGUACAUCAUCUGGAAUCAGGGAGAAGAGACUCUCACCCCGACUCCUAACUGGGGCCUUCAACCCCAGGAGUCACACCAGGAACCCAUUUCAAAAGAGGAAUGCUUGCAUCUCUCUGCUAAGGAGGGCCUCUGUGCCCUGGGAGCUCCGCCCACCAGGCACACAGCACUCAGCACUCUAUCCAUGAGCAGGCCCUUCCGCAGACACUGCAGCUGAAGAUCUGGCUCCUCCAUCCCCUACGCCACCUCACGGAACUGAGACUGUCUCCAGGGCAGCCCCUGGACACCCCUGGCCCAAGAGGGGUCUCUACAAUCAUCAUUCCCAGCUUCUCUCUACCUUCAAAGAAGGUUCUCAAGCCCUCCCCGGGCCGCUCCUCACCUGCCGAUGAUGCUCUUGAUCUGGGAGUCCUUCUCCACCUGCUGCUGCCGUAGCCUCUUCUCGCUCUGCUCCAGCCGGGCCUGAUACUGCAUCAGGAUUUUGCUGGUCUGCUCUUCCUGGGACAGCAAUCUCCGCUCAUACUCCUCCAGCUUCCGGUUGGACAUGUGCAGCCGCUCCUUCAGCGAGUGGAUCUCCUCCUCAUACUCCUUCACCUGCCCGCCGGGCACACGACCCCGCACUGUGAGGGGGGCUGGGCCUGACCGUGCACCCAGCCUCUACCCUGCCUGCUAAGCACAGCACCUUGUGGUGAGGGAUCCUCACCAGUCUCCUCCAGCCCUUCCCUGGCUCUUGAUCUGCCCCCCCACCUCUCUCUCACACACACACUUUUAAGAAAGUCCUCACAUGGGGCUGAGGCUCUGUCAAGACGUAACAAGACCAUGGACUCCCCCAUCCUAGAGGUAUACACAUGCCCUCACACGUGCACCUGGACACAGGAAAACCAACACAGAAGCCUAGACAGACUCAUGGACACAGGUGGAAGGCAUUUUGUCCUUGGUUUGUUAAAUGGUGCUGGAAAUAAUUUAUAAUAAGGCCUAAAGAUAUUCUCUUAGCUCAAGACUAUCUACAUCAAUCCCAACAUUUUUCUUUGCUCAGACUACUUCUCCCCAAAAACCUCUCUGCUCCCCAGGUUGGAAUCAUGUAUCCUG
Molecule: long non-coding RNA, 1462 nt
Organism: Bubalus bubalis (water buffalo)
Lineage: Eukaryota; Metazoa; Chordata; Mammalia; Artiodactyla; Bovidae
Exons: 4
Source: RefSeq, a predicted model, not a curated record